GAUGAACGCUGGCGGCGUGCCUAAUACAUGCAAGUCGAGCGAACAGAUAAGGAGCUUGCUCCUUUGACGUUAGCGGCGGACGGGUGAGUAACACGUGGGUAACCUACCUAUAAGACUGGGAUAACUUCGGGAAACCGUAGCUAAUACCGGAUAACAUUUCGAACCGCAUGGUUCGAUAGUGAAAGAGGGUAUUGCUAUAACUUAUAGAUGGACCCGCGCCGUUUUAGCUAGUUGGUAAGUUAACGGCUUACCAAGGCGACGAUACGUAGCCGACCUGAGAGGGUGAUCGGCCACACUGGAACUGAGACACGGUCCAGACUCCUACGGGAGGCAGAGGUAGGGAAUCUUCCGCAAUGGGCGAAAGCCUGCCGGAGCAACGCCGCGUGAGUGAUGAAGGUCUUCGGAUCGUAAACCUCUGUUAUUAGGGAAGAACAUACGUGUAAGUAACUGUGCACGUUUUGACGGUACCUAAUCAGAAAGCCACGGCUAACUACGUG
RNAcentral lists this ribosomal RNA (497 nucleotides) under uncultured bacterium. Its description in RNAcentral is "partial 16S ribosomal RNA". It matches the Rfam family "Bacterial small subunit ribosomal RNA", at positions 28 to 507 of the family's 1533-position model. The record is from RNAcentral.